UGAAGUGAUGAUGGCAAAGAGGUCACACCUGUUCCCAUACCGAACACAGAAGUUAAGCUCUUUAGCGCCGAUGGUAGUUGGGGGUUUCCCCCUGCGAGAGUAGGACGUCGCUAGGC
RNAcentral lists this ribosomal RNA (116 nucleotides) under Acinetobacter baumannii. The record is from RNAcentral. Lineage: Bacteria; Pseudomonadati; Pseudomonadota; Gammaproteobacteria; Moraxellales; Moraxellaceae.